RNAcentral lists this ribosomal RNA (446 nucleotides) under uncultured bacterium. RNAcentral describes it as "bacterial SSU rRNA". It matches the Rfam family "Bacterial small subunit ribosomal RNA", at positions 355 to 825 of the family's 1533-position model. The record is from RNAcentral.
UAACGAAUCUUCCGCAAUGCACGAAAGUGUGACGGAGCGACGCCGCGUGGAGGACGAAGUUCUUCGGAAUGUAAACUCCUGUCAGGGGAAAGAAAGUUCUGAUCUACCCCAGAGGAAGAGGCGGCUAACUCUGUGCCAGCAGCCGCGGUAAUACAGAGGCCUCGAGCGUUAGACGGAAUCACUGGGCUUAAAGCGUGUGUAGGCGGAAGGGUAAGUACCUUGUGAAAUCCCACGGCUUAACCGUGGAACGGCUUGGUAUACUGCUUUUCUUGAGCAAUCUAGGGGCGAGUGGAACAGAUGGUGGAGCGGUGAAAUGCGUAGAUAUCAUCUGGAACGCCAAUGGUGAAGACAACUCGCUGGGAUUUGCUGACGCUGAGACACGAAAGCCAGGGGAGCGAACGGGAUUAGAUACCCUCGUAGUCCCUGAGCGGGCUGGCAAGGCGCAU